UUUCCAGGCCCUACGGGGCGCAGCAGGCGCGAAACCUUUACACUGUACGAGAGUGCGAUAAGGGGAUCCCAAGUGCCCGCGCCUAGCGUGGGCUUUUCUGAACCGUAAAAUGGUUCAGGAAUAAGGGCUGGGAAAGACCGGUGCCAGCCGCCGCGGUAACACCGGCAGCUCAAGUGAUGGCCGAUAUUAUUGGGCCUAAAGCGUCCGUAGCCUGCCGUACGGGUCCGUCGGGAAAUCCGCCCGCUCAACGGGCGGACGUCCGGCGGAAACCAUACGGCUUGGGACCAGAGGACCCGAGGGGUACGUCGGGGGUAGGAGUGAAAUCCCGAGAUCCUCGACGGACCGCCGGUGGCGAAAGCGCCUCGGGAAGAUGGAUCCCACGGUCAGGGACGAAAGCUUGGGUCUCGAACCGGAUUAGAUACCCGGGUAGUCCAAGCUGUAAACGAUGUUCGCUAGGUGUGGCGUAGGCUACGAGCCUGCGCUGUGCCAAAGGGAAGCCACGAAGCGAACCGCCUGGGAAGUACGUCUGCAAGGAUGAAACUAUAUAGGAAUUGGCGGGGGAGCACUACAACGGGAGGAGCCUGCGGUUUAAUUGGAUUCAACGCCGGG
This 609-nucleotide ribosomal RNA is filed under the name uncultured haloarchaeon. Its description in RNAcentral is "bacterial SSU rRNA". It matches the Rfam family "Archaeal small subunit ribosomal RNA", at positions 313 to 922 of the family's 1478-position model. The record is from RNAcentral. Lineage: Archaea; Methanobacteriati; Methanobacteriota; Halobacteria; Halobacteriales; Halobacteriaceae.